AGGGGAAUGGUGUAACGGUAGCACUACUGGUUUUGGUCCAGUCAGUUCGGGUUCGAAUCCUGGUUCCCCUG
Molecule: transfer RNA, 71 nt
Filed under: bacterium
Lineage: Bacteria
Also listed under: 1 other name
Description: tRNA-Gln
Rfam family: tRNA
About the family: Transfer RNA (tRNA) molecules are approximately 80 nucleotides in length. Their secondary structure includes four short double-helical elements and three loops (D, anti-codon, and T loops). Further hydrogen bonds mediate the characteristic L-shaped molecular structure. tRNAs have two regions of fundamental functional importance: the anti-codon, which is responsible for specific mRNA codon recognition, and the 3' end, to which the tRNAs corresponding amino acid is attached (by aminoacyl-tRNA synthetases). tRNAs cope with the degeneracy of the genetic code in two manners: having more than one tRNA (with a specific anti-codon) for a particular amino acid; and 'wobble' base-pairing, i.e. permitting non-standard base-pairing at the 3rd anti-codon position.
Source: RNAcentral